UACCAAUACCAACUUCAGAGAAACUGCAUCCUGUUUCAAAUGUACACAUGCAAGAGCAGAUCUGUAUCACUGUCUGUAAGAGUGCACACUAAUCAUGCAUUGAAACUAUAUUUAGAUACUGACAGCAUGCCAAUUUUGCCACUCUCACUUGAAUUUGUGCUAUUUGGACCCUUACCAGGUCAACCCAUAUCUAAUAAACAUUUUUAACAGUAGUUGGAUGCAAAACUACCCUUCAAGUAUGAAUCCAGCCGAAUGCACUCACCUUACAAUUAUUCUUAAUCAAUCUUAAUUUCAUAUUUAAAAUAGAUUGGCUAAACACACUAACCAAUAAAGAGCUCCGUGUCAGGAAAUUUGUUUUGACUUGAAGACCAUAUAUUCUUACUCUGGA
Pelobates cultripes (western spadefoot toad) is the source of this 388-nucleotide non-coding RNA. The record is from the annotation of a GenBank genome assembly. Lineage: Eukaryota; Metazoa; Chordata; Amphibia; Anura; Pelobatidae.